RNAcentral lists this microRNA precursor (103 nucleotides) under Olea europaea subsp. europaea. The record is from RNAcentral. Lineage: Eukaryota; Viridiplantae; Streptophyta; Magnoliopsida; Lamiales; Oleaceae.
AUUUUUCGAAGCAAGAAACCCAGUUCUUCCAGUUUUUCGAAGCAAGAAGCCUAAUUAAAAAUGUUGGAAGAAUUGGGCUUCUUGCUUCGAAAAACUAGAAGAA